GAUUAAGUGUCAUAAGGGCGUUCGGUGGAUGCCUUGGCGCUGAGAGGCGAUGAAGGACGUGGUACGCUGCGAUAAGCCUUGGGGAGCUGCGAACAAGCUUUGAUCCGAGGAUUUCCGAAUGGGGAAACCCACCUUCGAUACCUGUAAAUCCGAGAAUGACGGGACGGUGCAUCGGCGAGAGAUCGUUGAUGGAUUGGUUCUGGAUCGGCUGGCAAGCCGGUGAUGAGUGCUCGUGAGAGCCUCGGCAUUUUUGGAUUUGCAGGUAUCAAGACGAAGGUAUCUGAUCCUGAAUCCAUAGGGAUUAGAAGCGAACCCGGGGAACUGAAACAUCUAAGUACCCGGAGGAAAGGACAUCAACGAGACUCCGUUAGUAGUGGCGAGCGAACGCGGACCAGGCCAGUGCUUGCGCAAAUCCAACCGGAACCGUCUGGAAAGUCGGGCAUCAUGGGUGAUAGCCCCGUACGGAUGUAGAGAUGCGUAAGCCUUGAGUAGGGCGGGACACGUGCAAUCCUGUCUGAACAUGGGGGGACCACCCUCCAAGCCUAAGUACUCCUCAGCGACCGAUAGCGAACAAGUACCGUGAGGGAAAGGUGAAAAGCACCCCGACGAGGGGAGUGAAACAGUUCCUGAAACCGGAUGCCUACAAACAGUUGGAGCCCAAGGUUCGUCCUGGGUGACAGCGUACCUUUUGUAUAAUGGGUCAGCGACUUAAAGUAACGAGCAAGCUUAAGCCGAGAGGUGUAGGCGCAGCGAAAGCGAGUCUGAACAGGGCGUUCAGUUCGUUGCUUUAGACCCGAAACCGAGUGAUCUAGCCAUGAGCAGGUUGAAGGUGCGGUAACACGCACUGGAGGACCGAACCGGUGCCUGUUGAAAAAGUCUCGGAUGACUUGUGGUUAGGGGUGAAAGGCCAAUCAAACUCGGAAAUAGCUGGUUCUCCGCGAAAACUAUUUAGGUAGUGCCUCGUGUGAAUACUCUCGGGGGUAGAGCACUGAAUGGGCUAGGGGUCCUUACCGGAUUACCAAACCCAAUCAAACUCCGAAUACCGAGAAGUACUGCGCGGGAGACACACGGCGGGUGCUAACGUCCGUCGUGGAGAGGGAAACAACCCUGACCUACAGCUAAGGCCCCCAAUUCGUGGCUAAGUGGGAAAGGAUGUGAGAAUCCCAAAACAACCAGGAGGUUGGCUUAGAAGCAGCCAUCCUUUAAAGAAAGCGUAACAGCUCACUGGUCUAAACAAGGGUUCUUGCGCCGAAAAUGUACCGGGGCUCAAGCCACGAGCCGAAGCUUAGGAUUGCGACAACCUUCGGGUUGCGCAGUGGUAGCGGAGCGUUCCGUAGGCCUGUGAAGGAGGACCCGUGAGGGCCU
RNAcentral lists this ribosomal RNA (1365 nucleotides) under Chelatococcus sp. Its description in RNAcentral is "partial 23S ribosomal RNA". It matches the Rfam family "Bacterial large subunit ribosomal RNA", at positions 1 to 1272 of the family's 2925-position model. Lineage: Bacteria; Pseudomonadati; Pseudomonadota; Alphaproteobacteria; Hyphomicrobiales; Chelatococcaceae. The record is from RNAcentral.